This 1393-nucleotide long non-coding RNA is filed under the name Olea europaea subsp. europaea. Lineage: Eukaryota; Viridiplantae; Streptophyta; Magnoliopsida; Lamiales; Oleaceae. The record is from RNAcentral.
UAAUAUAAAGACACAAAAAUCAUAAUAAAUCAAUUAAAAUGUAAUGUCAACCAACAUUGAAUCCAAAAUAUUUCAUCAACACACAAAUAAAUGACAUUCACCAAGUAUGAUUAUAUCUAAAGUUAAAAAACAUGACUCUUUAUUCCCGUGAAUUAGAUACGUGCUGAUUCUCACCAAAGUUAUUCUCUUCAUCCUCAAUAGCAUCAUUUUUCCCAUUUCCAUUAUUCUCUAUUGACAAUGGUAUAAAUGGUGGUACAAUGAAACCCAGAACUUUACCACAUAAUUGUUGUAUAGAAUGAUGCCAAGAUUGUAAUGUAGGAUUGAAUUGUUGCUCAACAACCUUUAGCUUGUUUUACAUAUUUUGCUCCAUGUUUACUCGAGCUGCAUUUGCUAUCUUACGAGCAGAACGUUCUGUUUCCAACUCCUUCUCCAAAUCGUGUACAUUGGAAGAAGAUAUCCCAUUUCUCGUAACCCAAGAAUUUGAUGACCUUUUGGAUAGAUUUUCUCACUUGAAGUAGUUAUCUAUUUGGAAUGUAUACCAAACAUUUUCUUCAAUAUCUCAAGAACCUAACCAAAAUAAUCAUUCAAAUACCAGUAAAUUACACCAGUAAAGCAGGGCUUGUAACAAAUAAAUGCUCAAGACUCAGAAGGCAGCAGCAAAAAGCAGGGAAGACCACAAACGAUAUCAAAUUAGUAUUAUUCAUAUUGAGGUACACUAGGUAAAAAAAUAUAUGGGCCUGUUACAAUGCAUUAUCUAUACUGAACACCAUCACCAUUAGCUAUGCCUUCAGUUAUGUUACCACAACAAUGCUCUCAUCAGAUGUGUAGCUCAUACUCUUUAAAACAUGUCUAAACAUUCUUGGAAAUAAGAUAAGGAAUGAUUUACAUUAGAACGGAGUUAUCCAUCUAUUGAAAAUUCUACUUGAAAUUAUCUAAUUUGAUUUAUAUUAGAACGGAGUUACAUUAGAUAUUUUCCUGAAAUCCUCAGAAUGAGUAUUGUGCUAGUGGACAUUUAAUUUACAUUUUCUUAGCUAAUUUCCCUUGAUGAACCAAAUUAGCUUAUUACCAGGAUCUUGUUCAUAAAAUAUAUUUUCAACUCACAAAAACCAUUUAGCUGAAAACUGAAACCGUUCCUCAAAUUUCACUUCUCAUAUAUAAUUAAGAAGCACACGAAAGUUCCAACUGAGCAAUGAAACUUUGAUCCCCAUUUUUUGUAGCUGUGGUUGCCUAAAGGUUCUCCUUUUGAACUUUCCAAAACAUUUCAUUGAAGAGAUUUCUGAUAAUCAAAAAAGAAAACUGCAUUCAUACGUAUGCCUUUGAAUACCAAAGAAGAUUUAUAGCAGUUCCAAUAUGAUUGCUCUAUGUGCACGCGCAGUUAUCAGAAAUCAGCAAG